GAUGAACGCUGGCGGCGUGCCUAAUACAUGCAAGUCGAACGAACAGGCGAUGAUCUUGCUCCGCGGACGUUAGGGGCGGACGGGAGAGUAACGCGUGGAUCACCUACCUAUAAGACUGGGAUAACUUGGGAACACCGGCGCUAAUACCGGAGAAUAUAUUGAACCGCGGGGGUCGAUAGUGAAAGACGGUUGUGCUGGCACUUCUAGAUGGAUCCGCGCCGCAUUAGCUGGUUGGUAAGGUAACGGCUUAUCAAGGCAACGAUGCGUAGACGAGCUGCGAGGGUGAUCGGCCACAUUGGAACUGAGACACGGUCCAGACUCCUAAGGGAGGCCGCAGUAGGCAACCUGCCGCAAUGGGCGAAAGCAUGACGGAGCAACGCCGAGUGAGUGAUGAAGGUCUUCGGAUCGUAAAACUCUGUUAUUAGGGAAGAACAACUGUGUAAGUAAAUAUGCACGUCUUGACGGUACCUAAUAAGAAAGCCACGGCUAACUACGUG
Molecule: ribosomal RNA, 497 nt
Filed under: uncultured bacterium
Lineage: Bacteria
Description: partial 16S ribosomal RNA
Rfam family: Bacterial small subunit ribosomal RNA
Source: RNAcentral